GGUCGCUGGAGGAGAUGAUCCCUUCGGUGAUGACGAUGACAUGGAUGAUGAUGAGGAUGCACCUGGAGGACCUGGUGGACCUGGACGACCUAGAGGUCAAGAUGGACUUUUCGCUGCUGAUGAUGGGUGGAUUGUGACAGUCUGCACAAGGGAUGGUGGAGAGUCUUUCUUCUACAGCGAGCUGAAGCGUCUCCUUGACCAGCAGCUAGAACAUGGCAUGUUCGCAGUGGAGUACCGCAGUGAGCACUGGAGUCACCCGGAGUACCCGACGUACUGGAGGGUCUGGGCACACGUCGGCAGGCCUAACCCAACGUUGAGAGCACUGAGGAUCAUGUCUAUACAUGAAGCUGUGGCAGAGAGGUCUACUCAGAUGGCGGGCAUU
Molecule: long non-coding RNA, 382 nt
Filed under: Sorghum bicolor (sorghum)
Lineage: Eukaryota; Viridiplantae; Streptophyta; Magnoliopsida; Poales; Poaceae
Description: long non-coding RNA (SBIC_LNC001092)
Source: RNAcentral